Molecule: long non-coding RNA, 324 nt
Organism: Pollicipes pollicipes
Lineage: Eukaryota; Metazoa; Arthropoda; Thecostraca; Pollicipedomorpha; Pollicipedidae
Exons: 3
Source: RefSeq, a predicted model, not a curated record
CAGUAAUGUGACCGCGCACAGUAAUGGCGCCGGUGUCGCGGAUGCUGUGUGUUUGCGGCGGUUGGAUGUUCGGUGUCGUAAUUGGUUAAGUUCCAAGCUAUGGUUGAAAAGUUUUGAAGUUAGGCACUGAUCAACAAGAGUUCAAGGGAAUGGCUGGCUCCGAGGACCUGAGCAAGCCACGCUUGAAGAAGCAUGCCCAGCAUACAGGCCAGUAUACAGGCACCAGUCAGAUCAAGAGAUGCUCAGUGGUGCUCACACCAUUGCCAGCAUCCAUGUGUCUAAAGGAGACUGCAUCACAGAGAAGCAGUGCUACCCGCCUCCAAA